CCGGGGCCGCGGGCCUACAAUGCAGUCGAGCGAACUUCCGUUCUUGAUUAUGACGUACUUGUACUGAUUGAGAUUUUAGCCUGAAGUGCGUGGUGAACGGGGGAGAUACCCGCGGGUAACCUGCCCUAAAACCGGGUAUAACCUAUGGAAACAAAUGCUAAUACCGUAUAACAUUGUGCUCCGCAUGGUUUUCUUUUAAAAGAUGGCUCUGCUAUCGCUUCUGGAUGGACCCGCGGCGUAUUAGCUAGUUGGUGAGGUAAAGGCUCACCAAGGUGUGAUACAGAGCCGACCUGACAGGGUAAUCGGCCACAUUGGGACUGAGACACGGCCCGUACUCCUACGGGAGGCAGCAGUAGGGAAUCUUCCACAAUGGACGCAAGUCUGAUGGAGCAACGCCGCGUGAGUGAAGAAGGGUUUCGGCUCGUAAAGCUCUGUUGUUAAAGAAGAACGUGGGUAAGAGUAACUGUUUACCCAGUGACGGUAUUUAACCUAAAAGCCACGGCUAACUACGUGCCAGCAGCCGCGGGAAUACGUAGGUGGCAAGCGUUAUCCGGAUUUAUUGGGCGUAAACCGAGCGCAGGCGGUCUUUUAAGUCUAAUGUGAAGGCCUUCGGCUCAACCGAAGAAGUGCAUUGUAAACUGGGAGACUUGAGUGCAGAAGAGGACAGUGGAACUCCAUGUGUAGCGGUGAAAUGCGUAGAUAUAUGGAAGAACACCAGUGGCGAAGGCGGCUGUCUGGUCUGCACUGACGCUGAGGCUCGAAAGCAUGGGUAGCGAACAGGAUUAGAUACCCUGGUAGUCCAUGCCGUAUACGAUGAUUACUAAGUGUUGGAGGGUUUCCGCCCUUCAAUGCUGCAGCUAACGCAUUAAGUAAUCCGCCUGGGGGAGUACGACCGCCAAGGUUGAGACUCAUGAUGAAUUGACUGGGGCCCGCACAAGCGAUGGCAGCAUGUGGUUUACUUCGAAGCUACGCUAGAACAUUACCAGGGUCUUGACAUCUUCUGACAGUCUAGAAGAUAAAGGUUCCCUCGGGACGGAUGACAGUUGUGCAUGCUGUCGUCAGCUCGCGUCUGGAAUGUUUGGUUACGUCCCGUACGAGCGCAUCCUAUACUAGUGGCCAGCAUAGUGGGCACUUAAUGGAAACUGCGGUGUACAACGGUAGAAGCCUGGGACAUACUUCUAUCAUCAUGUGCCUUAGUACCUGGGGCUCA
Molecule: ribosomal RNA, 1210 nt
Filed under: bacterium
Lineage: Bacteria
Description: bacterial SSU rRNA
Rfam family: Bacterial small subunit ribosomal RNA
Source: RNAcentral